CCAGACUCCUACGGGAGGCAGCAGUGGGGAAUAUUGGACAAUGGGGGCAACCCUGAUCCAGCAAUUCUGUGUGCACGAAGAAGGUUUUCGGAUUGUAAAGUGCUUUCAGCAGGGAAGAAGAAAGUGACGGUACCUGCAGAAGAAGCGACGGCUAAAUACGUGCCAGCAGCCGCGGUAAUACGUAUGUCGCAAGCGUUAUCCGGAAUUAUUGGGCAUAAAGGGCAUCUAGGCGGCCCUGUAAGUCUAGGGUGAAAACCUGCGGCUCAACCGCAGGCCUGCCCUGGAAACUAUAGGGCUAGAGUAUCGGAGAGGUGGACGGAACUGCACGAGUAGAGGUGAAAUUCGUAGAUAUGUGCAGGAAUGCCGAUGAUGAAGAUAGUUCACUGGACGGUAACUGACGCUGAAGUGCGAAAGCUAGGGGAGCAAACAGGAUUAGAUACCCUGGUAGUCCUAGCUGUAAACGAUGAUUACUGGGUGUGGGCAUGAAGAGUGUCCGUGCCGAAGCAAAUGCGAUAAGUAAUCCGCCUGGGGAGUACGGCCGCAAGGCUGAAACUCAAAGGAAUUGACGGGGGCCCGCACAAG
This 582-nucleotide ribosomal RNA is filed under the name uncultured bacterium. Its description in RNAcentral is "bacterial SSU rRNA". It matches the Rfam family "Bacterial small subunit ribosomal RNA", at positions 331 to 929 of the family's 1533-position model. The record is from RNAcentral.